ACUUUCCCGAUACCAUCUCGCCGCCGCCCCAUGCCCCGCCGCCGUGCGCCACCACCCCUCGCCCCACCGCCGCGCGCCACCACCCCUUGCGCCGCCGCCGCGCGCCACCAUCCCUCGCCCCGCGGCCGCGCGCCACCACUCCUCGGCCCCCCGCCGGGAGCCACCAUCCCUCGCCCUGUCGCCGCACGCCGGUAGCCCCCGCCCCAUGGCGAACCGCGCCUCAACCACCGACGACCUCCGCGUGAAGAUUUCCUCGGCGAGAUCCGACGUAUGCUUCUUCUGCGGGGUAGGAGGCGGAGGACGCAGCGGUGACUCCCACGCUAGGGAUGCAGAGGACACGCACGGCGCGCGACGCAAGAUGGUGGUCAUGGGUGGUGAUGCGCCUGUGCGCCGCCCCAUCCACGGCUGACCGCCGCUCGAAGCUGCCCCUGCACGCCGCCGACUCAUCCAGGCACUGGCCCCUGCUUCCUCCCAUGUGGCCUUCUUCCUCUGUCCACUACUGGCUCGUCGGCAGUUCUUCGUCGCCAACACCCGAAGGUUCAAUCAAUUUCAUCUUCGUAGCUAUGAGGUUGAGCCAAUUUUCUCGGCUACUGAAACCGAUCAUUUGACAGAGAAUUCAAAAGAAACAGCAUAUAUGAGGAUACGUGAAGUUUAAAAGUUCUGGUUCAGGGAAGUAGACAUCCUGCAGUUUUUGGGAAUUAGUAGUUCACCUUUGCUACGUGUAGCAAGUUCUCUGGUUGCAAAAAUUAAUUCACUUUGCAAAAACUCUGCAGGUUAACAAUUUCUUUUGUUUGUUGUAGAUGGAGAUGUGUGUAUGUAUACAUGUGUUCUGGAGAUAGGAGAACUUAUCUGGUGGUGUGUGCGUGCUGCUGCAUCCUCUUCCGGCCGCUCUAAUGCACACCCUCAGUACAACUUCUUUCGGUUCAAUUUACAAAUUUCAUUCAGUUCGGCGAGGUGGAGAUUGGGGCGCAGUGGGGUGUGGCCUUGCGUGUGGAGACGGCCCGCCGCAACGUCACCGGCCGGAUCCCGCUCUUCAGUUGCUUAUAAGCUUGACAUCUUUGAUGAAUCCAGCCCGAACUGAAGCAUGUCGGCAAGCCGGGCGGUGCGCCAACCACUGUUGUCUGUCUACCUCCUUCCCCGUGCAGAGAAGUUAUCCUGUUGCGGGCUGACCUGGAGGCUCCCUUCUCCACGUCGACACAAUUGCAGACCACGCAAGCUUUCUCAAGGAGCUCGUGUCCAAUGAUACUGAAAGGGAAAAUGGAGUGAAAGUGCUACUGCUCCAGUUUUGAACUUCUUAUUCAGUCAUGCUAUUACUGAGUGAAAAAUGGAGUCAAAAGUGUAUUGCAAUUGAUCUCUCUUAGACCCUGGCAAUCCUCUAUUUAUCCUUUGUUUGCUUGUCUUUUGGUCUGUAAUUCAAGAACUUUGACCUUCGUAAUUCGGUUUUUGGUUAAUUUAUUAUGCCCUGUACAAACCUUUAAAUCUGAAGAGGCUUCUAAUAGCAAAAAAAUGUGCAGCCGGUGUGGUCUAUAUGUCAAUUCAUGUAUGAAAAUGUGCAUUCGGUGUGGUGUA
RNA transcript from Triticum dicoccoides, 1569 nucleotides. RefSeq lists it as uncharacterized. The record is from RefSeq and is a predicted model, not a curated record. NCBI's taxonomy places the organism in Eukaryota, Viridiplantae, Streptophyta, Magnoliopsida, Poales, Poaceae. The transcript is spliced from 5 exons.